CCUACGGGGGACAGCAGUGAGGAAUAUUGGUCAAUGGGCGAAAGCCUGACGCAGCGACGCCGCGUGAGGGAUGAAGGUCUUCGGAUCGUAAACCUCUGUCAGCAGGGAAGAACGGUCACUGUGCUAAUCAGCAGUUAAUUGACGGUACCUGCAAAGGAAGCACCGGCUAACUCCGUGCCAGCAGCCGCGGUAAUACGGAGGGUGCGAGCGUUAAUCGGAAUUACUGGGCGUAAAGCGCUCGUAGGCGGUAUGUCAAGUCAAGGGUGAAAGCCCCGAGCUCAACGUGGGAACUGCCUUUGAAACGGGCAAACUGGAGUGUGUGAGAGGAUAGUGGAAUUCCAGGUGUAGGAGUGAAAGCCGUAGAUAUCUGGAGGAACAUCAGUGGCGAAGGCGACUAUCUGGCACAUAACUGACGCUGAGGAGCGAAAGCGUGGGUAGCAAACAGGAUUAGAUACCCGUGUAGUC
This 465-nucleotide ribosomal RNA is filed under the name uncultured bacterium. RNAcentral's name for it is "partial 16S ribosomal RNA". It matches the Rfam family "Bacterial small subunit ribosomal RNA", at positions 338 to 795 of the family's 1533-position model. The record is from RNAcentral.